UACGGAGGGUGCUAGCGUUGUUCGGAAUCACUGGGCGUAAAGGGCGUGUAGGCGGUCUGUUAAGUCUGAUGUGAAAUCCCCUCGCUCAACGAGGGAACUGCGUCGGAUACUGGCAGACUCGAGUACCGGAGAGGAAGGUGGAAUUCCCGGUGUAGCGGUGAAAUGCGUAGAUAUGUCACAGAACACCAAUUGCGAAGGCAGCUUACUAAGGUGCAAUUGACGCUGAGGCACGAAAGCGUGGGGAUCAAACAGG
This 253-nucleotide ribosomal RNA is filed under the name uncultured bacterium. RNAcentral's name for it is "partial 16S ribosomal RNA". It matches the Rfam family "Bacterial small subunit ribosomal RNA", at positions 524 to 776 of the family's 1533-position model. The record is from RNAcentral.